RNAcentral lists this transfer RNA (67 nucleotides) under Escherichia coli 3.4870. Its description in RNAcentral is "partial tRNA-Met". It matches the Rfam family "tRNA". From Rfam's summary of the family: Transfer RNA (tRNA) molecules are approximately 80 nucleotides in length. Their secondary structure includes four short double-helical elements and three loops (D, anti-codon, and T loops). The record is from RNAcentral. Lineage: Bacteria; Pseudomonadati; Pseudomonadota; Gammaproteobacteria; Enterobacterales; Enterobacteriaceae.
AGCCCUUUAGCUCAGUGGUGAGAGCGAGCGACUCAUAAUCGCCAGGUCGCUGGUUCAAAUCCAGCAA